UGGGGAAUAUUGGACAAUGGGCGCAAGCCUGAUCCAGCCAUGCCGCGUGAGUGAUGAAGGCCCUAGGGUUGUAAAGCUCUUUCACCGGUGAAGAUAAUGACGGUAACCGGAGAAGAAGCCCCGGCUAACUUCGUGCCAGCAGCCGCGGUAAUACGAAGGGGGCUAGCGUUGUUCGGAUUUACUGGGCGUAAAGCGCACGUAGGCGGACUAUUAAGUCAGGGGUGAAAUCCCGGGGCUCAACCCCGGAACUGCCUUUGAUGCUGGUAGUCUUGAGUUCGAGAGAGGUGAGUGGAAUUCCGAGUGUAGAGGUGAAAUUCGUAGAUAUUCGGAGGAACACCAGUGGCGAAGGCGGCUCACUGGCUCGAUACUGACGCUGAGGUGCGAAAGCGUGGGGAGCAAACAGG
RNAcentral lists this ribosomal RNA (404 nucleotides) under Actinomycetes bacterium. Its description in RNAcentral is "Actinobacteria bacterium partial 16S ribosomal RNA". It matches the Rfam family "Bacterial small subunit ribosomal RNA", at positions 355 to 776 of the family's 1533-position model. Lineage: Bacteria; Bacillati; Actinomycetota; Actinomycetes. The record is from RNAcentral.